GCUGCCAGUCUGCAGGGAGCUGUCAGUCUGCAAGGAGCUGCCAGUCUGCAAGGAGCUGCCAGUCUGCAAGGAGCUGCCAGUCUGCAGGGAGCUGUCAGUCUGCAAGGAGCUGCCAGUCUGCAAGGAGCUGCCAGUCUGCAAGGAGCUGCCAGUCUGCAAGGAGCUGUCAGCCUGCAUGGAGCAGUCAGAGCUGUCAGUCUGCAGGGAGCUGUCAGUCUGCAAGGAGCGGUCAGUCUGCAAGGAGCUGUCAGUCUGCAAGGAGCUGUCAGCCUGCAUGGAGCAGUCAGAGCUGUCAGUCUGCAAAGAGCUGCCAGUCUGCAAGGAGCUGUCAGCCUGCAUGGAGCAGUCAGAGCUGUCAGUCUGCAUGAAGCAGCCAGAACUGCCAGUCUGCAAGGAGCUGCCAGUCUGCAAGGAGCUGCCAGUCUGCAGGGAGCUGUCAGUCUGCAAGGAGCUGCCAGUCUGCAAGGAGCUGCCAGUCUGCAAGGAGCUGCCAGUCUGCAAGGAGCUGUCAGCCUGCAUGGAGCAGUCAGAGCUGUCAGUCUGCAGGGAGCUGUCAGUCUGCAGGGAGCUGUCAGUCUGCAAGGAGCGGUCAGUCUGCAAGGAGCUGUCAGUCUGCAAGGAGCUGUCAGCCUGCAUGGAGCAGUCAGAGCUGUCAGUCUGCAAAGAGCUGCCAGUCUGCAAGGAGCUGUCAGCCUGCAUGGAGCAGUCAGAGCUGUCAGUCUGCAUGAAGCAGCCAGAACUGCCAGUCUGCAAGGAGCUGCCAGUCUGCAAGGAGCUGCCAGUCUGCAGGGAGCUGUCAGUCUGCAAGGAGCUGCCAGUCUGCAAGGAGCUGCCAGUCUGCAAGGAGCUGCCAGUCUGCAAGGAGCUGUCAGCCUGCAUGGAGCAGUCAGAGCUGUCAGUCUGCAGGGAGCUGUCAGUCUGCAGGGAGCUGUCAGUCUGCAAGGAGCGGUCAGUCUGCAAGGAGCUGUCAGUCUGCAAGGAGCUGUCAGCCUGCAUGGAGCAGUCAGAGCUGUCAGUCUGCAAAGAGCUGCCAGUCUGCAAGGAGCUGUCAGCCUGCAUGGAGCAGUCAGAGGUGUCAGUCUGCAUAGAGCAGCUAGAUCCGCCAGUCAACCAGAAUCUUCCAGAUCUGCAAGUCAACCUGAAUCUUCCAGAUCCGCCAGCCAGCCAGGAUCUACCGGAGCCUACUACCUACCUGAGCUUCAUCUCAGUACUGGGCUUCCUCUCAGUACUGGGCUUCCUCUCAGUACUGGGCUUCCUCUCAGUACUGGGCUUCCUCUCAGUACUGGG
This 1287-nucleotide long non-coding RNA is filed under the name Oncorhynchus kisutch (coho salmon). Its description in RNAcentral is "lncRNA (ENSOKIG00005004021.1)". Lineage: Eukaryota; Metazoa; Chordata; Actinopteri; Salmoniformes; Salmonidae. The record is from RNAcentral.